Molecule: ribosomal RNA, 497 nt
Filed under: uncultured bacterium
Lineage: Bacteria
Description: partial 16S ribosomal RNA
Rfam family: Bacterial small subunit ribosomal RNA
Source: RNAcentral
GACGAACGCUGGCGGCGUGCCUAAUACAUGCAAGUAGAACGCUGAAGAGAGGAGCUUGCUCUUCUUGGAUGAGUUGCGAACGGGUGAGUAACGCGUAGGUAACCUGCCUUGUAGCGGGGGAUAACUAUUGGAAACGAUAGCUAAUACCGCAUAACAAUGGAUGACACAUGUCAUUUAUUUGAAAGGGGCAAUUGCUCCACUACAAGAUGGACCUGCGUUGUAUUAGCUAGUAGGUGAGGUAAUGGCUCACCUAGGCGACGAUACAUAGCCGACCUGAGAGGGUGAUCGGCCACACUGGGACUGAGACACGGCCCAGACUCCUACGGGAGGCAGCAGUAGGGAAUCUUCGGCAAUGGGGGCAACCCUGACCGAGCAACGCCGCGUGAGUGAAGAAGGUUUUCGGAUCGUAAAGCUCUGUUGUAAGUCAAGAACGGUUGUGAGAGUGGAAAGUUCACAAUGUGACGGUAGCUUACCAGAAAGGGACGGCUAACUACGUG